This 465-nucleotide ribosomal RNA is filed under the name uncultured bacterium. RNAcentral's name for it is "bacterial SSU rRNA". It matches the Rfam family "Bacterial small subunit ribosomal RNA", at positions 338 to 795 of the family's 1533-position model. The record is from RNAcentral.
CCUACGGGAGGCAGCAGUAGGGAAUCUUCGGCAAUGGACGAAAGUCUGACCGAGCAACGCCGCGUGAGUGAAGAAGGUUUUCGGAUCGUAAAACUCUGUUGUUAGAGAAGAACAAGGACGUUAGUAACUGAACGUCCCCUGACGGUAUCUAACCAGAAAGCCACGGCUAACUACGUGCCAGCAGCCGCGGUAAUACGUAGGUGGCAAGCGUUGUCCGGAUUUAUUGGGCGUAAAGCGAGCGCAGGCGGUUUCUUAAGUCUGAUGUGGAAGCCCCCGGCUCAACCGGGGAGGGUCAUUGGAAACUGGAAGACUUGAGUGCAGAAGAGGAGAGUGAAAUUCCAUGUGUAGCGGUGAAAUGCGUAGAUAUAUGGAGGAAUACCAGUGGCGAAGGCGGCUCUCUGGUCUGUGACUGACGCUGAGGCUCGAAAGCGUGGGGAGCAAACAGGAUUAGAUACCCCAGUAGUC